RNAcentral lists this ribosomal RNA (652 nucleotides) under Enterococcus faecalis. RNAcentral describes it as "partial 23S ribosomal RNA". It matches the Rfam family "Bacterial large subunit ribosomal RNA", at positions 1 to 651 of the family's 2925-position model. Lineage: Bacteria; Bacillati; Bacillota; Bacilli; Lactobacillales; Enterococcaceae. The record is from RNAcentral.
GAUAAGGUUAAGUGAAUAAGGGCGCACGGUGGAUGCCUUGGCACUAGGAGCCGAUGAAGGACGGGACUAACACCGAUAUGCUUUGGGGAGCUGUAAGUAAGCUAUGAUCCAGAGAUUUCCGAAUGGGGGAACCCAAUAUCUUUUAUAGGAUAUUACUUUUCAGUGAAUACAUAGCUGAUUAGAGGUAGACGCAGAGAACUGAAACAUCUUAGUACCUGCAGGAAGAGAAAGAAAAUUCGAUUCCCUGAGUAGCGGCGAGCGAAACGGGAAGAGCCCAAACCAACAAGCUUGCUUGUUGGGGUUGUAGGACUCCAAUAUGGUAGUCUGUUAGUAUAGUUGAAGGAUUUGGAAAAUUCCGCUAAAGAGGGUGAAAGCCCCGUAGACGAAAUGCUAACAACGCCUAGGAGGAUCCUGAGUACGGCGGAACACGAGAAAUUCCGUCGGAAUCCGCGGGGACCAUCCCGCAAGGCUAAAUACUCCCUAGUGACCGAUAGUGAACCAGUACCGUGAGGGAAAGGUGAAAAGCACCCCGGAAGGGGAGUGAAAUAGAUCCUGAAACCGUGUGCCUACAACAAGUCAAAGCUCGUUAAUGAGUGAUGGCGUGCCUUUUGUAGAAUGAACCGGCGAGUUACGAUUGCAUGCGAGGUUAAGU